Molecule: long non-coding RNA, 175 nt
Organism: Conger conger (European conger)
Lineage: Eukaryota; Metazoa; Chordata; Actinopteri; Anguilliformes; Congridae
Exons: 3
Source: RefSeq, a predicted model, not a curated record
GUUUCAUACACCAAGCCAGGUAGAGGUAGCCUGCAAGAGAUUUAAAGGCGUGUUACUCUGUAUUCAGGAAAAUAUCUUGCCUUAGUUUCAUUUGAUGAACCCUUGUGAAGCAGUAGUCUCAUCUCAAACCACGGAGGAGAGCCAGGAACUGGUUUAAGUAUCAAGGGCCCUGUGG